CCUUACCAUUUCUUUGUCCGGU
RNAcentral lists this microRNA (22 nucleotides) under Capitella teleta. Its description in RNAcentral is "Cte-Mir-184-P16_5p* (star (passenger))". Lineage: Eukaryota; Metazoa; Annelida; Polychaeta; Capitellidae. The record is from RNAcentral.